This 460-nucleotide ribosomal RNA is filed under the name uncultured bacterium. RNAcentral describes it as "partial 16S ribosomal RNA". It matches the Rfam family "Bacterial small subunit ribosomal RNA", at positions 338 to 795 of the family's 1533-position model. The record is from RNAcentral.
CCUACGGGAGGCUGCAGUGAGGAAUAUUGGUCAAUGGGCGGACGCCUGAACCAGCCAAGUCGCGUGAGGGAAUAAUGCCCUAUGGGUCGUAAACCUCUUUUGUCGGGGAGCAACGCCGGGUACGUGUCCCCGCCCGGAGAGUACCUGUAGAAAAAGCAUCGGCUAACUCCGUGCCAGCAGCCGCGGUAAUACGGAGGAUGCGAGCGUUAUCCGGAUUUAUUGGGUUUAAAGGGUGCGUAGGCGGGCUGUUAAGUCAGCGGUAAAAAUGCGGGGCUCAACCCCGUCCGGCCGUUGAAACUGGCGGCCUUGAGUGGGCGAGAAGAAGGCGGAAUGCGUGGUGUAGCGGUGAAAUGCAUAGAUAUCACGCAGAACCCCGAUUGCGAAGGCAGCAUACCGGCGCCCAACUGACGCUGAGGCACGAAAGUGUGGGGAUCGAACAGGAUUAGAUACCCCGGUAGUC